RNAcentral lists this ribosomal RNA (497 nucleotides) under uncultured bacterium. Its description in RNAcentral is "partial 16S ribosomal RNA". It matches the Rfam family "Bacterial small subunit ribosomal RNA", at positions 28 to 507 of the family's 1533-position model. The record is from RNAcentral.
GAUGAACGCUGGCGGCGUGCCUAAUACAUGCAAGUCGAGCGAACAGACGAGGAGCUUGCUCCUCUGACGUUAGCGGCGGACGGGUGAGUAACACGUGGAUAACCUACCUAUAAGACUGGGAUAACUUCGGGAAACCGGAGCUAAUACCGGAUAAUAUAUUGAACCGCAUGGUUCAAUAGUGAAAGACGGUUUUGCUGUCACUUAUAGAUGGAUCCGCGCCGCAUUAGCUAGUUGGUAAGGUAACGGCUUACCAAGGCAACGAUGCGUAGCCGACCUGAGAGGGUGAUCGGCCACACUGGAACUGAGACACGGUCCAGACUCCUACGGGAGGCAGCAGUAGGGAAUCUUCCGCAAUGGGCGAAAGCCUGACGGAGCAACGCCGCGUGAGUGAUGAAGGUCUUCGGAUCGUGAAACUCUGUUAUUAGGGAAGAACAAAUGUGUAAGUAACUAUGCACGUCUCGACGGUACCUAAUCAGAAAGCCACGGCUAACUACGUG